RNAcentral lists this long non-coding RNA (882 nucleotides) under Homo sapiens (human). RNAcentral describes it as "non-protein coding lnc-HS1BP3-1:5". Lineage: Eukaryota; Metazoa; Chordata; Mammalia; Primates; Hominidae. The record is from RNAcentral.
CCAGGGCUCAGUGAGGAGCCGGAGUGUCCCGGCCUGCCUGGACUCCAGCCGGGACCUCCCACAUGAGGCUCAUUCAUCUAUGCCCAGGAUUCUCAAAGAACCCCGGCCCCAGCCUGCUCUCUGUCAUGUGCUGAGCCCCAAGCUUACCCAUGCCUCCUGCCGUGGGGACCAGAGAAUGAGAAGACCACCAGGGAGACCCGCCCUGGAGACCAUGGUGUGCUGCUGACUCACGAGAAUGACAUCACCAAGUGUGCCCUCUGUCCUGUCACUUGGAGCUCCUGGAAGCACAGAAUGUCCCUCAGCCUGGACACUGCCCCUGGCCUGGGGAGGUAGAUGCUCCCCACCUCCCCUCCUGCCCUAGUGCAGAGGAAAGAAGAUCAAAUCUGGAGUCAGCAGACAUAGGAGUCUAAUCCCUGGUUCUGAUAUAUCUAGGCAGUCAUUGCCUUAGCCACACUCAGCCUUAAUCUCCUGAUCUGCAAAAUGGGGAGAACCACACUAACUUUGCAGUUUGCGGUGAGAGUCAAGGAAACCCACGUGAGAAGUGUCUGGCACUGUGCCUCGCAUGUACUGGAUGUGCAGUCUUGAAGGAAUCCUACGCUUCAUGAAUGAGGAUUUGACAUCUGGCAGAGGUCUUUAUGAACACAUUUAUGAUCAUCCUUCAAAGCAACCACAUGAAAUGGGCCAGGGGCUUGUUCUCUUUUAGCAGACAGACGGGUUGAGUCACCACAAGAUGCUGUUAUGGUUUAAAUGUGUGGAGCUAUAUAUAUACAUACACACAUACACAUGUAUAUAUCAAUCAAGCUAUACUUAUCCCCAAUAACAGAGAGGAAAAAUAUAUUAUUAGAAUAAGAGCCGCAUAUUUUGGAAAACUUACCAUGUGCC